UGAUAGGCAUAGUACAGUCAGGCUCAUAACCUGAAGGUCGCAGGUUCAAAUCCUGCCCCCGCAACCA
RNAcentral lists this transfer RNA (67 nucleotides) under Pseudomonadota bacterium. Its description in RNAcentral is "Proteobacteria bacterium (bioreactor metagenome) tRNA-Met". It matches the Rfam family "tRNA", at positions 12 to 71 of the family's 71-position model. Rfam says of the family: Transfer RNA (tRNA) molecules are approximately 80 nucleotides in length. Their secondary structure includes four short double-helical elements and three loops (D, anti-codon, and T loops). The record is from RNAcentral. Lineage: Bacteria; Pseudomonadati; Pseudomonadota.